ACGAACGCUGGCGGCAUGCCUCACACAUGCCAGUCGAACGAGACCUUCGGGUCUAGUGGCGCACGGGUGCGUAACGCGUGGGAACCUGCCUUUAGGUUCGGAAUAACUCAGAGAAAUUUGAGCUAAUACCGGAUGAUGUCUUCGGACCAAAGAUUUAUCGCCUUUAGAUGGGCCCGCGUUGGAUUAGCUAGUUGGUGGGGUAAAGGCCUACCAAGGCGACGAUCCAUAGCUGGUCUGAGAGGAUGAUCAGCCACACUGGGACUGAGACACGGCCCAGACUCCUACGGGAGGCAGCAGUGGGGAAUAUUGGACAAUGGGCGAAAGCCUGAUCCAGCAAUGCCGCGUGAGUGAUGAAGGCCUUAGGGUUGUAAAGCUCUUUUACCCGAGAUGAUAAUGACAGUAUCGGGAGAAUAAGCUCCGGCUAACUCCGUG
Molecule: ribosomal RNA, 432 nt
Filed under: uncultured bacterium
Lineage: Bacteria
Description: partial 16S ribosomal RNA
Rfam family: Bacterial small subunit ribosomal RNA
Source: RNAcentral